Episyrphus balteatus (marmalade hoverfly) is the source of this 926-nucleotide long non-coding RNA. RefSeq lists it as uncharacterized. NCBI's taxonomy places the organism in Eukaryota, Metazoa, Arthropoda, Insecta, Diptera, Syrphidae. The transcript has 3 exons. The record is from RefSeq and is a predicted model, not a curated record.
UUGGAGUAAAAAAAAAAAUCUCCACUUCUCACUUUUUUUUUCUUUUAAUUUUCUUUAAAAAAAAUUUCAAAUUCAAAUUUUUCACCACUGGUUUAUAUUCUGAACUUUUUAAUUUGAAUGACUAUUGUAAGAUGUCAAAAGAAAUCGCAUUUUUCGUUCAACUCAGAGGAAGUAUGAAAGCGACGAGUACAAAGGUAAGUUGUUCAGUUUUUCUUGUCGAUUUGUGUGAUAUUGAGGUUUGUUUACAUUGUGUUCUUUUUUUUUCGUUUCAGCAGCAACAUGCGUCCGCAACAAAAUUUCUUCGGAGAAAAUUACCCGUAAUUUUCUAGGAAGAAACAAAAAGGUCACCUGGGGAUUAGAUAUCUAAAGGAUUUUUCAGUACAAAAGCAUAACAUUACCGGACUGGUUUCUCAUGGACAUAUAGAACACGUGGUUGUAUAUUGCAGGUGGGAGUUCCUUAUACUACAUACGGGGAUGCUCAUCGUGGUGGCCAUUCUUACCCGGUGAAAUUUGUUUAGCUACCAUUUUGAAAUUGGUUGAACUAAAUUUUCAUCCGUGGGGAGCAACCCAUGUUAUAAGCCGGGCUUAAUUUAGGCUUGGUAGUUUCAUUUGUGAAAAAAAAAUUGACGCAGACAUAACUGUUCAGACAACUUUAUACAGGAUCAAGAAUUCAAGGUCAACUUAUUUCAACUUCAAACAUCAUAUUUCCAGGACAAGAAACUACCCCCUUUCUACCUUGUAGAAGUGGAGAGAAAAACCGGUGAGUGAUUCAUUAUAAGUUUUAUUUUAAUUAAUUAUAAAAACUGGCCUGACAGUUAAAGGUCAUGUAUUUGAUCCAUAAAUUAAGAUUCAAAAGUAGCUAACAAAAAAAAUUUAAAAACAACACAAAUCAUGCUUAAAUACAAUGGUACAAGAAAUUAAAUAAU